This 782-nucleotide ribosomal RNA is filed under the name Salmonella enterica subsp. enterica. RNAcentral's name for it is "bacterial LSU rRNA". It matches the Rfam family "Bacterial large subunit ribosomal RNA", at positions 1 to 816 of the family's 2925-position model. Lineage: Bacteria; Pseudomonadati; Pseudomonadota; Gammaproteobacteria; Enterobacterales; Enterobacteriaceae. The record is from RNAcentral.
GGGUUGUGAGGUUAAGCGACUAAGCGUACACGGUGGAUGCCCUGGCAGUCAGAGGCGAUGAAGGGCGUGCUAAUCUGCGAUAAGCGCCGGUAAGGUGAUAUGAACCGUUAUAACCGGCGAUACCCGAAUGGGGAAACCCAGUGUGUUUCGACACACUAUCAUUAACUGAAUCCAUAGGUUAAUGAGGCGAACCGGGGGAACUGAAACAUCUAAGUACCCCGAGGAAAAGAAAUCAACCGAGAUUCCCCCAGUAGCGGCGAGCGAACGGGGAGGAGCCCAGAGCCUGAAUCAGCAUGUGUGUUAGUGGAAGCGUCUGGAAAGGCGCGCGAUACAGGGUGACAGCCCCGUACACAAAAGCGCAUGUGCUGUGAGCUCGAUGAGUAGGGCGGGACACGUGGUAUCCUGUCUGAAUAUGGGGGGACCAUCCUCCAAGGCUAAAUACUCCUGACUGACCGAUAGUGAACCAGUACCGUGAGGGAAAGGCGAAAAGAACCCCGGCGAGGGGAGUGAAAAAGAACCUGAAACCGUGUACGUACAAGCAGUGGGAGCACCCUUUGGGGUGUGACUGCGUACCUUUUGUAUAAUGGGUCAGCGACUUAUAUUCUGUAGCAAGGUUAACCGAAUAGGGGAGCCGGAGGGAAACCGAGUCUUAAUUGGGCGUUAAGUUGCAGGGUAUAGACCCGAAACCCGGUGAUCUAGCCAUGGGCAGGUUGAAGGUUGGGUAACACUAACUGGAGGACCGAACCGACUAAUGUUGAAAAAUUAGCGGAUGACCUGUGGCU